AGUGAACGCUGGCGGUAGGCCUAACACAUGCAAGUCGAACGGCAGCACAGUAAGAGCUUGCUCUUACGGGUGGCGAGUGGCGGACGGGUGAGGAAUACAUCGGAAUCUACUUUUUCGUGGGGGAUAACGUAGGGAAACUUACGCUAAUACCGCAUACGACCUACGGGUGAAAGCAGGGGAUCUUCGGACCUCGCGCGAUUGAAUGAGCCGAUGUCGGAUUAGCUAGUUGGCGGAGUAAAGGCCCACCAAGGCGACGAUCCGUAGCUGGUCUGAGAGGAUGAUCAGCCACACUGGAACUGAGACACGGUCCAGACUCCUACGGGAGGCAGCAGUGGGGAAUAUUGGACAAUGGGCGCAAGCCUGAUCCAGCCAUACCGCGUGGGUGAAGAAGGCCUUCGGGUUGUAAAGCCCUUUUGUUGGGAAAGAAAAGCAGCAGGUUAAUACCCCGCUGUUCUGACGGUACCCAAAGAAUAAGCACCGGCUAACUUCGUG
This 492-nucleotide ribosomal RNA is filed under the name uncultured bacterium. RNAcentral's name for it is "partial 16S ribosomal RNA". It matches the Rfam family "Bacterial small subunit ribosomal RNA", at positions 29 to 507 of the family's 1533-position model. The record is from RNAcentral.